This 447-nucleotide long non-coding RNA is filed under the name Homo sapiens (human). RNAcentral's name for it is "non-protein coding lnc-ZC3H11A-1:3". The record is from RNAcentral. Lineage: Eukaryota; Metazoa; Chordata; Mammalia; Primates; Hominidae.
GCUGCUGCUGGGAGGACGACGGACGGCAGCGGCCAAGCAAGAAGAAAGACGUGGCAGCAAGCGGGAGUCGGGGAUAGUGUCAUCGGUUCGGUAAAGUUUCUGUUCUCUGGACUGGUGAAACCGUAAUGAAGAACACCCCUAAACUCCCAUAAUCGGUGCGGAUUCCUAUGGGGAAGGCCUAUAUUGUUGACAUCUUCCAGGCCUUGGUUCUGGACCUUGAGAAAGAGGCUGUGGAACUAGAGAUAGCGAUGCUUUUUAGGGUAAAUGUAUGUAGGUAUUGGGGGAAGGGGAGGGAUCAAUCGAAAAAUGGAAGUGGUUUAAAGUUCAUAUUUCACUUUUUGCUAUCUCUAUAGCGUACAACUUGUGAGUUACUUACAGGCUGUAAAAGCUUCUCAAGUCUAAAAAUAUCUGAAAACUAAACUUGAAUUAACUCUUAAUACAAACAGU